RNAcentral lists this ribosomal RNA (400 nucleotides) under uncultured bacterium. Its description in RNAcentral is "bacterial SSU rRNA". It matches the Rfam family "Bacterial small subunit ribosomal RNA", at positions 355 to 771 of the family's 1533-position model. The record is from RNAcentral.
UCGAGAAUAUUCCACAAUGGGCGAAAGCCUGAUGGAGCGACGCCGCGUGCAGGAAGAAGGCCCUCGGGUCGUAAACUGCGGUAGUAGAGUAACAACGUAAGUGAGUGCUCUACGGAAAGAGGUUGGUAACUACGUGCCAGCACCCGCGGUAAUACGUAGACCUCAAGCGUUACCCGGAUUUAUUGGGCGUAAAGCGCGUGUAGGAGGUCCGAUGCGUCUUGCGUUAAAGCCCACCGCUCAACGGUGGAAUCGCGCGAGAUACGAUCAGACUGGAGGAAGUUAGAGGCAAGCGGAACGCACGGUGUAGGGGUGACAUCCGUUGAUAUCGUGCGGAACACCAAAGGCGAAGGCAGCUUGCUGGGACUUUCCUGACUCUGAGACGCGAAAGCGUGGGGAGCAA